Molecule: ribosomal RNA, 253 nt
Filed under: uncultured bacterium
Lineage: Bacteria
Description: partial 16S ribosomal RNA
Rfam family: Bacterial small subunit ribosomal RNA
Source: RNAcentral
UACGAAGGGGGCUAGCGUUGCUCGGAAUUACUGGGCGUAAAGCGCACGUAGGCGGUCUUUUAAGUCGGGGGUGAAAUCCUGGAGCUCAACUCCAGAACUGCCUUCGAUACUGGAAGACUUGAGUCCGGGAGAGGUGAGUGGAACUGCUAGUGUAGAGGUGAAAUUCGUAGAUAUUCGCAAGAACACCAGUGGCGAAGGCGGCUCACUGGCCCGGUACUGACGCUGAGGUGCGAAAGCGUGGGGAGCAAACAGG